Molecule: long non-coding RNA, 240 nt
Organism: Drosophila navojoa
Lineage: Eukaryota; Metazoa; Arthropoda; Insecta; Diptera; Drosophilidae
Source: RefSeq, a predicted model, not a curated record
ACGUGUUUGACCAAAUUACGAAUCUGCUUUAGAGGCGUCAAUUGGUUCUCUACGUUCAUAAUUCUACGUAUCAAAUUUGUUGGUUCAGUGUGCGUUUUUGCUAUUUCAUGACAUUUGGCUGAGGCCCCCCUUCGUAGGGGCCAGCAGCAGCUCUACAUUUUUUCGGGACUAUUUUGACAAUUGAAACAACAAUGAAAUUGCACAAGUCAUUGGGCUAACUGUUGCUUAUAUUUGGCUAAC